GACGAACGCUGGCGGCGUGCCUAACACAUGCAAGUCGAACGGAACUGUUUUGAAAGAUUUCUUCGGAAUGAAUUUGAUUUAGUUUAGUGGCGGACGGGUGAGUAACGCGUGAGUAACCUGCCUUCAAGAGGGGAAUAACAUUCUGAAAAGAAUGCUAAUACCGCAUGACAUAUCGGAACCACAUGGUUUUGAUAUCAAGGAUUUUAUCGCUUGAAGAUGGACUCGCGUCCGAUUAGUUAGUUGGUGAGGUAACGGCUCACCAAGACCGCGAUCGGUAGCCGGACUGAGGGGUUGAACGGCCAGAUGGGGACUGAGACACGGCCCAGACUCCUACGGGAGGCAAGGGGGGGGGAUAUUGCGCAAUGGGGGAAACCCUGACGCAAAAACGCCGGGGGAAGGAAGAAUGUUUUCGGAUUGUAAAUUUUUUUUAUGAAGGACGAAAAAUGGCGGUACUUAAGGAAUAAGCGCCGGCUAACUACGU
RNAcentral lists this ribosomal RNA (481 nucleotides) under uncultured bacterium. RNAcentral describes it as "partial 16S ribosomal RNA". It matches the Rfam family "Bacterial small subunit ribosomal RNA", at positions 28 to 506 of the family's 1533-position model. The record is from RNAcentral.